ACAAUUGUUAGUGAAUAAAUUAAGUUUAUGUUCAGGGGUGAUGACAGGGAUCGGGAUUACAGGAGGAGCAGCCAGAGUAGAAGCAGGGGAAGAAGUGAGCGUGAAUCUCAUCGUGGCAGGCACAGGGAUUCUUCCUAUCGAAGCAGAAGCCGGUCCCGGAGCCGAAGCCGUAGUGCAAGUCCUGGCUAUCGCAGAGAACGUGGUAGAGGAAAAUAUGAUGAUGGUGAGAGACGUAGACGGAGUCGGUCUUAUGAAAGGUACUAUUUGAAAUAUUAAUAGCAUGUACGACGCUACUUUUGCUGUUUGAGAUUAAUUCUUAUUAUGUUUUUGGUGAUCUGUUAGUGCAUCUCCUGUUCGACGAAGUCUCAGUCCUCAGAGGUCUCCUUCCCCCAAAAAAUCGCCUCUGUCCAGGGAUGGAAGUCCUGAUGUGCGCAAUCACAAAGAACGAUCUGCCACCCCCCCGAAGAGUGUUUCUCCCCGUGGCCGUCGUGAUUCUCGGAGCCCAUCUCCACAUGAUGAGGUUGAUGUAAGUAUUCUAUCCUACCGUGUGUCCUGCCUGUGGCAAUUUAUUUUGUCUCAGUAGAAUUUUUGAUCCUUUCUUUUGUCUUUUUCCAGGACUAAUGGAUUGGCAGCUUGUGCUUUCUUGAGUAAUUUGACCUAUCAUCAUAUGGUGGUUGCGAUCAAUGCUUUUCCUAAAGAUCUGUCAUCAGUUUGAAUACCUAUGCAUUGUACUAGACUUGUUUUAUCGUUUUAUGUUAGAUUCUGCACCAGACAUAAAUGGUUUGGUACCAGUCUAAACUCUUUAAUCUUUCUUAGGUGGAUUGAGCUUUCAGUACAUUUCUUAUUCCUAAUAUGAAUGUGUGCCAUUGAACGUCUCACUCAUAUGAAGUCUUUAUUUGCCUUCUAUAGUUUGUGAACGUGAGGUAGUUGCUGAUUGGCAAGAUGAUGCAGCAGCUAUUGAUGCUGCUUUUAGAUGAUGCCGUAGGUGUCGAUGCUGCUUUUACAUUGCUGUUGAUUGUUAUGAUUUCUUGCUGGUGAUGAUGAUCUAAGGUUUGUUUACAAGCUCUCUGAGCAUGUCAUUAUUGGUGAGGUUAAUGGGUAUAUGCUUGUUAUUCUAUAAUCACAUUAGACUUCCCAAUAUAAUCUCUAACAUCACACUUUGUGGGAAUUGAUUCUUUUGCUGAUAACAUUUGAAGACUGGUAAGAAAUCAACUUGCUAGGUUUUCACAUUAUUUUGCUCUUCAAAAUUGUUUGGAGAUUUUGAUUCAUUAGUUGUGAAGAUUACCUCAUUUUGUGCUGAUACCAGUUACUCUGUUACAGCACAUGAGAUUGUGGCUGUAGCUGUGAGGUACCUGUUGUAGAUCGAUUGUCGGUGAUAGCUAUAGAAGCUGAUGCUGCUUUUUGAUGAAUGGUUUUAGUAGCUGUGUUGCAGUUGGAUGCAUGGACCUGCUUUAUUGUGAAAUUUUGCUACUUGGAAUGGCAUCUAAUCGUUAUUUGUUACUCACCUCUUUCUUGUUUGGAUUGUACAGAAAAUUAGUUUUAUCCCUUUUUCUUCCAGCAAAUUAGACUUGAAUGAAUACAGUUUUGGUUUCUUUUAUUUGAUUAAUAAUCGGAUAAAUCAAGUUACAGGCUUUUGUGGUUAGAUUGCUUCUUGCUUUGUGUGUGUGUGUGUAGAGGUAAUUGGUUAUACAACACUAGACUAUAAGUUUGUGGAUUGAUGCUCUUCAUUUGUUGUUUUUUUUUGUAAUUCUACAAAUAUUUGUGUUUGUGAUGUGCAAAGUAUAUGGAAAAUAUAUGGAAUUCGUAAUGUUUUUUGUUGAUUACAUGGUAUUUUCUAUAUACAUUGGGAUGUGCUCUUUUUAUGCAAUGCGUGUAUAUCACUGAAUUCAAGUAUCGAAAUCAAAUAUCUAUACGAUUCAUCUUGUAAUCUGACUGGUGCCUUUAACAGAAACCUACAACAAUCAAUUGAUAGAAAGAAANCACAGGGGCAAAAUCGUCCGAACAGGGCACUCCAGAAAUGAUCUGCCGCAGGGGCAAAAUCGUCCGAACAGGUCACCUCCAGAAAUGAUCUAGCGAAUUCUAUCGUUAAAAAGAGGAGUAGAAAAGCCUCCCAAAUUUCCCUCAAAAUUAUAGAAAAGGAAAAAGGCUCCAAAUUCCAAACCCUAAUUCUGCUCUCUUCAUCGCCGAUCCAAGAAAUGUCGCACUUCGGGAGAUCUGGGCCGCCGGACAUCAGAGACACCUUCUCUCUCCUCGUCCUCAACAUUACUUUCCGUACUAACUCUUCCGCUCAUCCUCUGUUUUUACUUCGUUUUUGUUUUGUCUUUUUGUUGCUAAUUUUGUUUGUUGAAAUUUUUGGAUUGAUUUUUGUGCUUGAUUUUUGGAUUAUUCAGGUACUACAGCUGAUGACUUGUUCCCCCUAUUUGAUAAGUAUGGCAAGGUGGUCGAUGUGUUCAUUCCUCGAGACAGGAGGUGACGUUAAGGGUGGUUUUGUUUGGUGUGUGUUUGUGUAUGUGAUAGAACGAGAUAUGUUAUGUUAUUUGUAGAGGUAUUUGGAUUUGUUGGUACCUUUGUCUUUGUUUUGUUCUUUUGUAUCCUUUGUGUGCGGUGUUGAAUAUAUAAAGCAUACACUUCAGUGGUGCAAAAAAUUGUUUGGUUUGAAGUUGUAGUUUCAAUUCUUUAUGGUUCAAUAUUAGCACGAUGUGUUCAAUUUUUUUUUGUGUGUUUUCACAAUGUAUUCGUUUUGGUGACUAGGGUAGCCUUUGCUUUAGGAUAGUAAGACUAACCAUUGAGCUUCUACAUCAGUUGUUCUUGAUAUACAUAUAUAUAUAUAUAUUCUGAAAUUAUGUUUUUGACCCAUGGUCUUUUGUAAAGCAGAACUGGAGACUCCAGGGGUUUUGCAUUUGUGCGAUAUAAGUAUCAAGAUGAGGCUCAAAAGGCAGUUGAAAAGCUCGAUGGUGAGCUGGGAGAAAAUUGAAAAUAGUUAGCAUUAGUAAUAGCCAUACUCCACUUCGUUGUAGUAUGACGAGUCGUUGUUUUGUUUCUUGCAGGAAGAGUUGUUGAUGGGCGAGAAAUAAUGGUUCAAUUUGCUAAAUAUGGGUCCCAAUGCAGAAACGAAUGUACGUUUUCACUACAGUACCUUUCCUUUGUUUUAAAAUUGACUAAGUUCAUGGUGGGCUGGGUUUUGUUUAUCUUCCGCUUUUGCUGUUUUGAUUGUUGAGGUUUCAUAUAUAUAUAUAUGUUCACAUUUUUCUGUUCUGCUGAUUGCAUAAUUUAAAGUUUUAUUGGACAUUACAAGUGAUGUAUAAAAUCCUGUGACAAAAACCAAAUCUGAUGGAUGUUUGUGGUUUUGAUCAGUGAUAAAGGUAGAAUUGAGGAACCUGUUUACAAGUCUAGAGGCAAGUCAAGAAGCCGCAGUCCUCGCCCAAGGUCUCUCUGCUUUUUAUGACUAUGCAUGCAGUCUUUCAAAUUGAAUAAUUGUCUCAUGCGUCAUUUUAGUAUUAAGCUAUACAUUUGCGACUUUGUCGCUGUUUUAUUCUUUUUGAUAUUAUUAUGAGAUUUUAUUUUUUAAGUGAAUUAAUGAGAGCUGUUUUGCUAUGACUUUGUGAUUUCAUAUUUUUGCUCCAAUUCGUUCCUAACUAGCCAAUCUUUAUUCUAAAGUUGAUUAUCUUAUCUUGGCUAAAUUAUAAUUAUUUCUUCCCAUGCAAUUUGCCAAUUAGUUAAAGAAAACUUUUAGUCCUUCUAAUCUUUCUUGAGUUGCUCUCUGCCUUAUUGCAUAUAUAAGAAUUUUAGCCCAUGACAAUUGUUAGUGAAUAAAUUAAGUUUAUGUUCAGGGGUGAUGACAGGGAUCGGGGAUUACAGGAGGAGCAGCCAGAGUAGAAGCAGGGGAAGAAGUGAGCGUGAAUCUCAUCGUGGCAGGCACAGGGAUUCUUCCUAUCGAAGCAGAAGCCGGUCCCGGAGCCGAAGCCGUAGUGCAAGUCCUGGCUAUCGCAGAGAACGUGGUAGAGGAAAAUAUGAUGAUGGUGAGAGACGUAGACGGAGUCGGUCUUAUGAAAGGUACUAUUUGAAAUAUUAAUAGCAUGUACGACGCUACUUUUGCUGUUUGAGAUUAAUUCUUAUUAUGUUUUUGGUGAUCUGUUAGUGCAUCUCCUGUUCGACGAAGUCUCAGUCCUCAGAGGUCUCCUUCCCCCAAAAAAUCACCUCUGUCCAGGGAUGGAAGUCCUGAUGUGCGCAAUCACAAAGAACGAUCUGCCACCCCCCCAAAGAGUGUUUCUCCCCGUGGCCGUCGUGAUUCUCGGAGCCCAUCUCCACAUGAUGAGGUUGAUGUAAGUAUUCUAUCCUACCGUGUGUCCUGCCUGUGGCAAUUUAUUUUGUCUCAGUAGAAUUUUUGAUCCUUUCUUUUGUCUUUUUCCAGGACUAAUGGAUUGGCAGCUUGUGCUUUCUUGAGUAAUUUGACCUAUCACCAUAUGGUGGUUGCGAUCAAUGCUUUUCCUAAAGAUCUGUCAUCAGUUUGAAUACCUAUGCAUUGUACUAGACUUGUUUUAUCGUUUUAUGUUAGAUUCUGCACCAGACAUAAAUGGUUUGGUACCAGUCUAAACUCUUUAAUCUUUCUUAGGUGGAUUGAGCUUUCAGUACAUUUCUUAUUCCUAAUAUGAAUGUGUGCCAUUG
This 4665-nucleotide long non-coding RNA is filed under the name Salvia miltiorrhiza (redroot sage). Its description in RNAcentral is "long non-coding RNA (SMIL_LNC009044)". Lineage: Eukaryota; Viridiplantae; Streptophyta; Magnoliopsida; Lamiales; Lamiaceae. The record is from RNAcentral.